GGCAGCUUUGUCAAAUUCAGUGCUUCCUCCUUCAUGGAUGUCACUGGCCAAAAUGGCUGCUACAGUGAAGAUGUAGCUUAUGGGCCCCACUGUGCCUCAACGCAGCAGCUGGGGAUAAUUUGUGCUACAAACAGUU
Molecule: small nucleolar RNA, 136 nt
Organism: Oryzias javanicus (javanese ricefish)
Lineage: Eukaryota; Metazoa; Chordata; Actinopteri; Beloniformes; Adrianichthyidae
Source: Ensembl